AAAUGAAUUAAGAGGCAACUCUUAACUGACCGGCUAGGGAAAGAUCGAGAGAUUCAAGCCUAGAGGGCAGAAAACUCUGCGGAGUAGCGCUAAAAUCGUAGAGUGAAAGGCAUGGCGGUAGCGCAUAAAACGACGUGCCAA
RNAcentral lists this non-coding RNA (141 nucleotides) under unclassified sequences. Its description in RNAcentral is "IMES-2 RNA motif". It matches the Rfam family "IMES-2 RNA motif". The record is from Rfam by way of RNAcentral.